GAUGAGCUGCUCAGCGUGAUGCUGGCAUUGGAGUCAGCAGCAGGGAAGAGCAAUGCCCUCCAUCCAUCCUGGAUCAACCUCUGGGAGCAGGGAUGGUGCUGGAGGGGCUGGUGAUGCUUGGCAAGGGAUGGAGAAACUUCAGGAGAGUGGAGGGGGAAAAGGUCAAGGCUGGACAGAAAAGGCAGGAUGAGCAGUUCCAGGAAACAAAGGGAGCUUUGCCAGAGGCUCAGCAGGACCCGCUUCGUGUCCCCGAUGGUCCCAUCCCCUGGUGCCUCCGACUCUCUGCCUUUCCCACCUCCAUCCAGACCUGCUGAGCUGCUUCCUGAGGGUUCUGAGCAGACUGAAACAGCCUCUGGAAUGGCUUUGUUUGCCAAGCAYGGAGUUCAGCUCAUUGUUUUUCCUGAUGAUGGAAGCUAUGCCAUGGUGAAGAGUGAAGUUGGAGCUGUGACUUGGAAUGUGUUCCCAGAGAUAAGGACUGGAUAGGUGCUUACAGCAUGGAAUUCUUGAAUGGUUUGGGUUGGAAGGGACCUUAAAGASCACCCASUUCCA
This is a long non-coding RNA of Malurus melanocephalus (red-backed fairy wren), 549 nucleotides long. RefSeq lists it as uncharacterized. NCBI's taxonomy places the organism in Eukaryota, Metazoa, Chordata, Aves, Passeriformes, Maluridae. The record is from RefSeq and is a predicted model, not a curated record. The transcript is spliced from 3 exons.